RNAcentral lists this ribosomal RNA (253 nucleotides) under uncultured bacterium. RNAcentral describes it as "partial 16S ribosomal RNA". It matches the Rfam family "Bacterial small subunit ribosomal RNA", at positions 524 to 776 of the family's 1533-position model. The record is from RNAcentral.
CACGGGGGGAGCAAGCGUUGUUCGGAAUCACUGGGCGUAAAGGGCGUGUAGGCGGUCAAGUAAGUGGAAUGUGAAAGCCCCCGGCUUACCCGGGGAUCUGCAUCCCAAACUGCUUGGCUUGAGUACGGGAGAGGAUAGGGGAAUUCCUGGUGUAGCGGUGAAAUGCGUAGAUAUCUGGAGGAACACCGGUGGCGAAGGCGGGACUCUGGGCCGAUACUGACGCUGAGGAGCGAAAGCGUGGGGAGCGAACAGG